UACGAAGGGUGCAAGCGUUAAUCGGAAUUACUGGGCGUAAAGCGCGCGUAGGUGGUUUGGCAAGUUGGAUGUGAAAGCCCCGGGCUCAACCUGGGAAUUGCAUCCAAAACUGCUUGGCUAGAGUACGGUAGAGGGUGGUGGAAUUUCCUGUGUAGCGGUGAAAUGCGUAGAUAUAGGAAGGAACACCAGUGGCGAAGGCGACCACCUGGACCGAUACUGACACUGAGGUGCGAAAGCGUGGGGAGCAAACAGG
Molecule: ribosomal RNA, 253 nt
Filed under: uncultured bacterium
Lineage: Bacteria
Description: partial 16S ribosomal RNA
Rfam family: Bacterial small subunit ribosomal RNA
Source: RNAcentral